Molecule: ribosomal RNA, 2827 nt
Filed under: Dyadobacter aurulentus
Lineage: Bacteria; Pseudomonadati; Bacteroidota; Cytophagia; Cytophagales; Spirosomataceae
Description: Dyadobacter sp. UC 10 23S ribosomal RNA
Rfam family: Bacterial large subunit ribosomal RNA
Source: RNAcentral
GCAAGCGAAUUAAGGGCGCAUGGGGGAUACCUAGGCUCUCAGAGGCGAUGAAGGACGUGAUAAGCUGCGAAAAGCUACGGGGAGCAGCACAUAUGCAUUGAUCCGUAGAUAUCCGAAUGGGGCAACCCAGUGUAGUGAAGCUACAUUACCCUACGGGGGGCAAACGCGGGGAACUGAAACAUCUAAGUACCCGCAGGAGAAGAAAAUAACAAUGAUUCCGCAAGUAGUGGCGAGCGAACGCGGAAGAGCCCAAACCAGCCUGGUUACGGCCAGACUGGGGUUGUAGGACCCACCAAGUGGAUAAAUAGCGAACUGGAAUGGUCUGGGAAGGCCAGUCGUAGAGGGUGAGAACCCCGUACAGGCAGUGAUUUUAUCUGAGUGGGUAUCCUGAGUAAGUGGGGACCGGUGGAAUCCCCUCUGAAUCCGGCGGCACCAUCCGCCAAGGCUAAAUACUCCUGAGAGACCGAUAGUGAACGAGUACCGUGAGGGAAAGGUGAAAAGUACCGCGAGCAGCGGGGUGAAAUAGAACUUGAAACCAUGCGCUUACAAGCGGUCGGAGCCUACGGGUGACGGCGUGCCUUUUGCAUAAUGAGCCUACGAGUUACGGUUACUGGCAAGGUUAAUGUGUUUGAACACAGGAGCCGAAGCGAAAGCGAGUCUGAAAUGGGCGAUUAGUCAGUGGCUGUAGACGCGAAACUUUGUGAUCUACCCAUGACCAGGUUGAAGCGCUGGUAACACAUCGUGGAGGACCGAACCGGUAAACGUUGAAAAGUUUUCGGAUGAGUUGUGGGUAGGGGUGAAAGGCCAAUCAAACUGAGAAAUAGCUCGUACUCCCCGAAAUGUUUUUAGGAACAGCGUCGUGGUCGAGUCAUGUUCAGGUAGAGCUACUGAUAGGGCUAGGGGGAGUCAAAUCCUACCAAACUCUGACAAACUCCGAAUGGGGCAUGAUAUACACGGCAGUGAGGGCUGGGGUGCUAAGGUCCCAGUCCGAGAGGGGAACAACCCAGAGCAUCAGCUAAGGUCCCAAAAUAUAUGCUAAGUUGAACUAAGGGGGUCCGACUGCAGAGACAGCCAGGAUGUUAGCUUGGAAGCAGCUAUACAUUUAAAGAGUGCGUAACAGCUCACUGGUCGAGCGGGGCGGGCAUCGAUAAUAAACGGGCAUCAAGCAUAUUACCGAAGCUAUGCGAUUGUAUUUAUACAUAUCGGUAGGGGAGCAUUCUCACAGGGGUGAAGGUGUGGCGUGAGCUGCGCUGGACUGGUGAGAAAAGCAAAUGUAGGCAUAAGUAACGAUAAUGCGGAUGAGAAAUCCGCACACCGAAAGACUAAGGAUUCCUCCGCUAUGCUAAUCAACGGAGGGUUAGGCGGGGCCUAAGGAGUAGCCGACAGGCGACCUCCGAUGGACAGCAGGUUAAUAUUCCUGCCCCUGCAUGCAGUGUGAAGAAGUGACGGAGUAUCGUGGAUGGUACGUACUGACGGAAUAGUGCGUUGAGCCGAGCCUACGGGCAAAGCGAAUCAUCGAAGACGCUUCCAAGAAAAGCUUUUGAAACACCAGCUGUAUGCAGCCCGUACCGUAAACCGACACAGGUAGUCGAGAAGAAUAUUCUAAGGUGCUCGAGUGAAUCACGGCUAAGGAACUCGGCAAAUUAACCCUGUAACUUCGGGAGAAGGGGAGCCUCCUCUGCAAAGAGAGGCCGCAGAGAAAUGGCCCAGGCGACUGUUUAGCAAAAACACAGGGCUCUGCCAAAACGAAAGUUGACGUAUAGGGCCUGACACCUGCCCGGUGCUGGAAGGUUAAGAGGGGAUGUCAUCGCAAGAGAAGCAUUGAAUCGAAGCCCCAGUAAACGGCGGCCGUAACUAUAACGGUCCUAAGGUAGCGAAAUUCCUUGUCGGGUAAGUUCCGACCUGCACGAAUGGUGUAACGAUCUGGGCACUGUCUCGGCCGUGAGCUCGGUGAAAUUGUAGUAGCGGUGAAGAUGCCGCUUACCCGCCACGGGACGGAAAGACCCCGUGCACCUUUACUAUAGCUUUGCAUUGUUUUCGGGUCAGGGAUGUGUAGGAUAGGUGGGAGGCUGUGAGCCGGUGUCGCCAGGCAUCGGGGAGCCAACGUUGAAAUACCACCCUUCGCUGGCCUGGGAUCUAACUGCUCUAAGAGCAGGACCGUGCAUGGUGGGUAGUUUGACUGGGGUGGUCGCCUCCAAAAGUGUAACGGAGGCUUCCAAAGGUCUGCUCAACACGCUUGGUAACCGUGUGUGGAGUGCAAUAGUACAAGCAGGCUUGACUGUGAGACCGACGGGUCGAGCAGGUGGGAAACCAGGGUAUAGUGAUCCGGUGGUUCUGUAUGGAAGGGCCAUCGCUCAAAGGAUAAAAGGUACGCCGGGGAUAACAGGCUGAUCUCCCCCAAGAGCUCACAUCGACGGGGAGGUUUGGCACCUCGAUGUCGGCUCGUCACAUCCUGGGGCUGGAGAAGGUCCCAAGGGUUCGGCUGUUCGCCGAUUAAAGUGGCACGCGAGCUGGGUUCAGAACGUCGUGAGACAGUUCGGUCCCUAUCUGUGGUGGGCGUAGGAAGAUUGACGGGGGCUGCCUUUAGUACGAGAGGACCGAGGUGGACCCACCGCUGGUGAACCGGUUGUCCCGCCAGGGGCAUGGCCGGGUAGCUAUGUGGGGAAUAGAUAAGCGCUGAAAGCAUCUAAGUGCGAAACUAGCCCGAAGAUGAAUCUUCCACAUAAGGGUCGUUGUAGACUACGACGUUGAUAGGCUGCAGGUAUACGUGUAGAAAUACAUUCAGCCGAGCAGUACUAAUUACCCAACAGCUUGCACAUUUAACCUU